Non-coding RNA from Zootermopsis nevadensis, 662 nucleotides. The record is from RefSeq and is a predicted model, not a curated record. NCBI's taxonomy places the organism in Eukaryota, Metazoa, Arthropoda, Insecta, Blattodea, Termopsidae.
AGACUGUGUCACGACUAACCUCAUUUCAUCGUUACCCUCCAGGUUACACUUCAUCGUCUGGUACAACUACUCCAAAAAUGUUUUUACUCAUCGGAUGCCAUGGAGGUCCUCGAACUUCCGAUGAGAUCUCUGUUGCCUCACGCGUGGUGGAUGGAUGAUUGAAAUUCUGGAACACUUCUUCGCUUUUAUUCUCUUCUCCGCAAGAUGGACGGAGGUUUGCUGUACACGCGUGUGCAAAGCUGACUGUAAGCCAGUGGAUGUCGGUUCCUGUUUCCAUGGAGUUGACCACGUCCAUAUAGAGUCGAUAAGUACACUCGCAACUUUACCUCCGCCCAUCCGUAACGUGGUUUUUGUGCACAGGGCAACUUCACUCUUUACAUUUAAAUUCAGGCUAUUGUUUUCUAGUUCCUCAGUUUAACGAUAAAUCCUGGCAAAUCUUUAUUGUUCGUGAGCAUGAGUUCUUAUGUACAUGCAAUACGAUGUGUACAAUAGAAGCUUAGUUGUAAGCUACUUAAAUGCUUAUGAGAACAUUUUUUUGGGAAAGCAAGAGAUAAUGAAGAAGUUUCAAAACAAAAGCUUAGAGAAUUUCAGCUCCCAAGGGGAAUGAAGAGAAUUAUGAGUCGAGAUGCGUAAUAAUAAUUCGAUUAAAUCAAUCAGAUAUA